UUUUCCUGCUGGUGGAACCAUCGCUCACCUAUUGCGUGUCCCCCGUUCUUGCGGGCUUCACCGGCUUCCCUUUGAAAAAAAGGUUAGACGAGCUCGCGGCUCAUCCAUGCGCGCGCCCCCUCUCGCACACACGGUCUCUUGCGCAGUGGGAGCUGCAUCCAUCACACGCACCGCUGUACACACGCUCACAGACACCCCUUCAAUUGCGGAUAGAGUUCGUGAGUCGCAACUGCAUCACACAACGCGCGGUACUACCGUGCGCCUUUCGACGCGAUUCCUUCUUCCACCUUUGUUCGAUUCACCCAAAGCCGACCAUGAGCAUCAACCCGACGAUUGGUGACAAGGACAUCCUUCAGCGGCGCACGUCCGCGAAUCCGAAGUACGAUUCUGUGCAGGCGGUGGUGGAGUCAGGCAUGACCGCUCAACUCGCGGAGUACAUGCGCAACAUCAAGAUCAAGACAAAGAGGCAGCCUGGUGAGUUGUUUCAGCGGCUGCGCGUCGAUGUCAUCGCAGCCUUCCUCAGCCGUCAGGAGCCCAAGUCGGUCCUAGAAGAUGGUGGAUUUGCACGGCCAAUGGACGAGUACGGCGGUCCCGAGAACGCGAUCGACAAGGCCGCCAUUAGCUACCUGCUGAUCGACUGCCGGGAAGUGGAGCACUACGAGGCCUGCCACAUCAAGACGGCGUUGCACUACCCAAAGAUCAAGGUGCAUCACUCGACCAAUCCGUUUUUGCCAGAGAUGUACGCCUACAAGAACAAGGAGAACAGGUAUAUCGUCCUUUACGACAUGGAAGAAGAAGCCGUUGUGAACUUGGCCAACACGAUGUUUCAGAAGGGGAUCGACAAUGUUGCCAUCAUCGCCGGUGGUCUGCGCGAGUUCGCGCAGGAUUAUGCCGAUUUUCUGACGGCGCGCCCCCCUGUGCCGAUCGUCCCCAGAGACUGGCGCAUGAAGCGGCGGGCUGAAGAAGCCACGCAAGCGCGCAGCGAGGCCCGCACCUCCAUGUCGCACAAGCCGAAGGGCUUGUCUAGCAGCCUUGCCCGCAGUAGUCGAAAAGGGACCUUCUGAGGUAGCCAAGUAGAGUGGCAUCAGGGAAGGUGACUCACCUGGUGCCGCGCGGUUUGCCUGUUUUGCGCGCAUGGCGCACACGGCUUGCCACGCCUCUUGUGCGUCAAGACACGGCCCCCUCUUUCGCCUCCCGUGUUCAAAGACAGGUUCGGCAUGCACAAGCGUCCGUUCGCGUUUGGAAUCAAGCAUUAGAAAAAAGGGGGGAGGUGCGGAAAGCGUGGGCCAGCAAACACGGAGAGAAUGGCGGUGGUGUACUGCUGGAGACGAACACCGAUGCCUCUUUCUCACUUUCGCUCUUCUCUCUUGCUGCCGGUGUCGUGCGCCUACCCGCUCUCUCGUCGUUGUUCUCUUCCUUGGCUUUGAUAUACUGUCCCCUCCCUCUUGAGGCUUUCUCACGAGCCGCUGACGCGAG
This 1476-nucleotide unclassified non-coding RNA is filed under the name Leishmania donovani. Its description in RNAcentral is "gene:LdHU3.34.4850(CDS-product:Rhodanese-like_dom ain_containing_protein_putative)". Lineage: Eukaryota; Euglenozoa; Kinetoplastea; Trypanosomatida; Trypanosomatidae. The record is from RNAcentral.